GAGACAGCUGGGACACCUGGGGGACAUCCUGUGAGUGCUGGGAAUUUGGGAAUUCAAUAUGGGAUCAUUGGGAAUGAUCAUUGGGAUCACUGAGAAUUCAUAAUGGGAGCCGCGGGAAUGCCGGGAACGGGAGAGGCAGCUGGCGGAGAGACAGCUGGGACACCUGGGGGACAUCCUGUGAGGGAAUGGGAUCAUUGGGAAUUUGGGAUUGAUCAUUGGGAUCAUUGGGAUUGAUCAUUGGGAUCAUUGGGAUCAUUGGGAAUUCAUAAUGGGAACCGCGGGAAUGCCGGGAACGGGAGAGACAGCUGGCGGAGAGACAGCUGGGACACCUGGGGGACAUCCUGUGAGGGAAUGGGGAUUUGGGAAUUUGGGAUUGAUCAUUGGGAUUGAUCAUUGGGAUCACUGGGAAUUCAUUAUGGGAACCGCGGGAAUGCCGGGAACGGGAGCGGCAGCUGGCGGAGAGACAGCUGGGACACCUGGGGGACAUCCUCUCCAAGUACGAGGAGGAGCGGAGCUCCCCCAUGGCCUUCGCCCUCAGCACCUUCAUGGCCCACGCCGGGAUCCGGCCCCG
RNAcentral lists this long non-coding RNA (571 nucleotides) under Zonotrichia albicollis (white-throated sparrow). RNAcentral's name for it is "lncRNA (ENSZALG00000004336.1)". The record is from RNAcentral. Lineage: Eukaryota; Metazoa; Chordata; Aves; Passeriformes; Passerellidae.